RNAcentral lists this ribosomal RNA (251 nucleotides) under uncultured prokaryote. RNAcentral's name for it is "partial 16S rRNA". It matches the Rfam family "Bacterial small subunit ribosomal RNA", at positions 525 to 775 of the family's 1533-position model. The record is from RNAcentral.
ACGGGGGGUGCAAGCGUUGUUCGGAAUUACUGGGCGUAAAGCGCGCGUAGGCGGCUUGGUAAGUCAGGGGUGAAAGCCCUGGGCUCAACCCAGGAAGUGCAUUUGAUACUGCCUGGCUUGAGUACGGGAGAGGAGAGCGGAAUUCCUGGUGUAGAGGUGAAAUUCGUAGAUAUCAGGAGGAACACCGGUGGCGAAGGCGGCUCACUGGCCCAAUACUGACGCUGAGGCGCGAAAGCGUGGGGAGCAAACAG